GGGGAAUCUUCCGCAAUGGACGAAAGUCUGACGGAGCAACGCCGCGUGAGUGAUGACGGCCUUCGGGUUGUAAAGCUCUGUUAAUCGGGACGAAAGGCCUUCUUGCGAAUAGUUAGAAGAAUUGACGGUACCGGAAUAGAAAGCCACGGCUAACUACGUGCCAGCAGCCGCGGUAAUACGUAGGUGGCAAGCGUUGUCCGGAAUUAUUGGGCGUAAAGCGCGCGCAGGCGGAUCAGUCAGUCUGUCUUAAAAGUUCGGGGCUUAACCCCGUGAUGGGAUGGAAACUGCUGAUCUAGAGUAUCGGAGAGGAAAGUGGAAUUCCUAGUGUAGCGGUGAAAUGCGUAGAUAUUAGGAAGAACACCAGUGGCGAAGGCGACUUUCUGGACGAAAACUGACGUUGAGGCGCGAAAGCCAGGGGAGCGAACGGGAUUAGAUACCCCGGUAGUCCUGGCCGUAAACGAUGGGUACUAGGUGUAGGAGGUAUCGACCCCUUCUGUGCCGGAGUUAACGCAAUAAGUACCCCGCCUGGGGAGUACGACCGCAAGGUUG
RNAcentral lists this ribosomal RNA (549 nucleotides) under uncultured bacterium. RNAcentral's name for it is "bacterial SSU rRNA". It matches the Rfam family "Bacterial small subunit ribosomal RNA", at positions 356 to 896 of the family's 1533-position model. The record is from RNAcentral.